Magallana angulata is the source of this 462-nucleotide long non-coding RNA. RefSeq lists it as uncharacterized. NCBI's taxonomy places the organism in Eukaryota, Metazoa, Mollusca, Bivalvia, Ostreida, Ostreidae. The record is from RefSeq and is a predicted model, not a curated record. The transcript has 2 exons.
CAACGUAACAUUAGUGUUGGUGACAUAGUGUUGUUAAAGGAUGUCGAAACCCAUCGCAACAACUGGCCGCUUGGACGCAUUACUGCAACGUUUCCUGGCAAGGACAACUUGGUUCGCAAGGUUGAAGUACGUGUCAGCAAGGACGGCAAGACCACCUCUUACGUCAGACCAGUGACGGAACUCAUUUUAUUAUUGGAGAACUGAAUGUUUUCUGUACUAAAUUGUAUUCAAAUCUUGUGUGAUAUAAUUUUAUAUAUCAGACGGGGAGUGUCAUGUUUCGUGUACAUUUUAUUUUUUGUUACGAAAGAUUUGUCGUACGACUUAAUUUUUUAUGUUGGAAAACCGCGCCAUACUCGAUGUAUGCACAACUCUGAUUCUCUGUAUCGAGGCUUGUAAUCCACAGUCUUUUUACCGUCGUCUGAGACGGUUAUCUGUCUCCCAAAUAAACUGAUUUCACCGACA